This 556-nucleotide ribosomal RNA is filed under the name Phoma sp. RNAcentral's name for it is "eukaryotic LSU rRNA". The stretch from base 196 to 349 matches the Rfam family "5.8S ribosomal RNA". The record is from RNAcentral. Lineage: Eukaryota; Fungi; Ascomycota; Dothideomycetes; Pleosporales; Didymellaceae.
GAGGAAGUAAAAGUCGUAACAAGGUUUCCGUAGGUGAACCUGCGGAAGGAUCAUUACCUAGAGUUGUAGGCUUUGCCUGCUAUCUCUUACCCAUGUCUUUUGAGUACCUUCGUUUCCUCGGCGGGUUCGCCCGCCGAUUGGACAAUUUAAACCAUUUGCAGUUGCAAUCAGCGUCUGAAAAAACAUAAUAGUUACAACUUUCAACAACGGAUCUCUUGGUUCUGGCAUCGAUGAAGAACGCAGCGAAAUGCGAUAAGUAGUGUGAAUUGCAGAAUUCAGUGAAUCAUCGAAUCUUUGAACGCACAUUGCGCCCCUUGGUAUUCCAUGGGGCAUGCCUGUUCGAGCGUCAUUUGUACCUUCAAGCUCUGCUUGGUGUUGGGUGUUUGUCUCGCCUCUGCGUGUAGACUCGCCUCAAAACAAUUGGCAGCCGGCGUAUUGAUUUCGGAGCGCAGUACAUCUCGCGCUUUGCACUCAGAGAACGACGACGUCCAAAAGUACAUUUUUACACUCUUGACCUCGGAUCAGGUAGGGAUACCCGCUGAACUUAAGCAUAUCA